UGGGGAAUCUUGGACAAUGGGGGCAACCCUGAUCCAGCGACGCCGCGUGGGUGACGAAGGCCUUCGGGUUGUAAAGCCCUUUUCUCGGGGAAGAUGAUGACGGUACCCGAGGAAUAAGCACCGGCUAACUCCGUGCCAGCAGCCGCGGUAAGACGGAGGGUGCUAGCGUUGUUCGGAAUUACUGGGCGUAAAGGGCGCGUAGGCGGCCCGAGAAGUCGGAUGUGAAAGCCCGGGGCUCAACCCCGGAACG
This 250-nucleotide ribosomal RNA is filed under the name uncultured bacterium. RNAcentral describes it as "partial 16S ribosomal RNA". It matches the Rfam family "Bacterial small subunit ribosomal RNA", at positions 355 to 622 of the family's 1533-position model. The record is from RNAcentral.